UGCUAUCUGCGAUACUGCAAAGAUUCGAACCUGCAGCAGGUUCGAGUUGAGCGCAGCGAAACAACGGAGCCGCUCGCGGCGACGGCCCGAAGGGCGAGCGAAGCGAGUCAUCCUGCACGACCCACCA
This 127-nucleotide small RNA is filed under the name Escherichia coli. RNAcentral's name for it is "RtT sRNA". It matches the Rfam family "RtT RNA". Rfam says of the family: This family represents a bacterial cis-regulatory element known as RtT RNA. The exact function of RtT is unknown although it is thought that it may be involved in changing the cellular response in relation to amino acid starvation. The record is from RNAcentral. Lineage: Bacteria; Pseudomonadati; Pseudomonadota; Gammaproteobacteria; Enterobacterales; Enterobacteriaceae.